GGGGAAGCAGUUUGCUCGCGUUUUCUGAUUUAUAUUCACAAAAGUUCUAUCAGGUUUUCACUCCUACCAUUGAAGAGGUGAAAAGACAGACUCAGAAAGGAUCCCCAGAGCCCCAGGCACGUGCUCUCUGGGCGCCUCCCUGCGUCCAGAGUCCCCGAGCCGCCUCUUCCCCUGGGAGCCGCCAGGGAGCCGCCUCUUCCCCGGGGAGCUACGGUCCUGCUGCUGAGGCUCCUUGCCGGGCUGUGUGAUGAGAAACCCGCCCUCCGGAGUCCCUGCCCCGGCACGUCACAGCCUGACCACCCUGCUCACACCGAACUGGGAUACUCAGGCCCUGAGAUUAGGGGUCCUGCUCCCCGCUCCCAGGAAGCCCUUCGAAACGACUGCUUAGAGCCGAGCCCUCAAAACUGGGUGCCCUCCACCCUGAUCACCGCACAGAGGAAAUAAGCAGACGCCGUCUUCUCCCAGUCUCUCUGGGACGCCUUUGGAGGGCCGAGCGCGACACCCGGUCUCAGCCUCCAGACACGGGAGAACAUGUUUCUACUGCUUGAAGCCCCCAGCCCGUGGGAAAUUGUUUCAGCAGCCCCGGGAAAUGAAUACACUAGGUAAAGUGUGAAGAAAAGUAGAUUUAGAAACCUUGUCACCUGAAUUGAUGUUUAUGACCUAUUCUAAAUGAAAGUGCACUGACGCCCAAACUCGUUUUUAAGACAGUCCCUCAGCCUCUUCUGACCAAAGGGCCCGCCGGCCCCCAGGCUCCCAGAGGAAACCGCUGGGCGCUUGUGAACACCGGCAUGGAUGGUGUGAAGGAGGGAGCACAGCUGCAGCCCGGCCUGGUGACCACGAAGGACAGCAGUGAUUUGUCUCCGAGCUCACACGUUGAACCUGGUAGAAACACCUCCUCCAUGCUGGUGGGCCCCCGGCCGCAAGUUUGUGGUUUCAAUUGUGGGUGCUCGAGCCCUAGAGAGCCUGCCUCACCAGGGGUCAGGGCUUGGCCGUCUGGUUGCAGAAAAACUCUCCAGGCCGUUCUGAUGCCCCCAGAGGUCAGGACACGAUGCGAAGUCUCAAGCCCUGCAGAGCUGAGGGACCCCCGAUGCCGGCUGGCGCGGGCCGGCCGCCAGAACCAGAGCUUCACCCACCUUCAGCUGCAGCUGACGUUUGCAGGACAUCGUGAAGUGGAGGGAAGCUUUCUAAGUGAUGGAGAGCAAGGAAACAACCCAAACAACGUGUUAGGAGAAAGGCUUGGUUCCCUUCUUCCCCUCUCCGUAGGAGAUAUUUCAAAAUGCUAGUCACCAUCACGGACUGAAUUAGCAAAAGCGUUCUGUUUUCUCUUUUUUUGUUAUGCUUUUGUCAGCUUUUGAAUAAUUAUAAUUUGCUCUGAUUUCUUCUCUGUUCCAAAUAAUUGUUCUCUUUCCUUCCACGCCCAUAUUCUGCAUUCUUUUUCUGAAGAAGAGACCCCUGAUUGUGUCAGUUCCAGACCCUCCAGUCCUGGAACUGCCCCUCCUUGUGGAAAGCACAGGACCAGGAGGGGUGAGGGGUGCAGGGGGGCCCCCGUCAGGAAAUCACGUGGCCGCCCCGACCCCACAAGAGUCCUGAGAGCAGAAGGGAAAAGAAAGGUUUUUAGCAGUGGCCGUCAGUGUGGAAUCUUGGGGAGCGGCAGCGAUGUCAA
Lagenorhynchus albirostris (white-beaked dolphin) is the source of this 1663-nucleotide long non-coding RNA. RefSeq lists it as uncharacterized. The transcript has 3 exons. Lineage: Eukaryota; Metazoa; Chordata; Mammalia; Artiodactyla; Delphinidae. The record is from RefSeq and is a predicted model, not a curated record.